RNAcentral lists this ribosomal RNA (253 nucleotides) under uncultured bacterium. RNAcentral describes it as "partial 16S ribosomal RNA". It matches the Rfam family "Bacterial small subunit ribosomal RNA", at positions 524 to 776 of the family's 1533-position model. The record is from RNAcentral.
UACGUAGGGGGCUAGCGUUGUUCGGAAUUAUUGGGCGUAAAGCGCGCGUAGGCGGCUUUGUACGUUAGAGGUGAAAGCCCGGAGCUUAACUCCGGAACUGCCUUUAAGACUGCAUCGCUAGAAUCGUGGAGAGGUGAGUGGAAUUCCGAGUGUAGAGGUGAAAUUCGUAGAUAUUCGGAGGAACACCAGUGGCGAAGGCGGCUCACUGGUCCAUUACUGACGCUGAGGUGCGAAAGCGUGGGGAGCAAACAGG